GCCUGGCAUGGUGGCACAUGCCUGUAAUCCCAGUGACUUGGGAGGCUGAGGCAGGAGGAUAUCAAGUUCAAAGCCAGCCUCAGCAAAAAGUGAAGCACUAAGCAACCGAGUGAGACCCUGUCUCUA
This 126-nucleotide small RNA is filed under the name Marmota monax (woodchuck). Lineage: Eukaryota; Metazoa; Chordata; Mammalia; Rodentia; Sciuridae. The record is from RNAcentral.